RNAcentral lists this non-coding RNA (28 nucleotides) under Mus musculus (house mouse). The record is from RNAcentral. Lineage: Eukaryota; Metazoa; Chordata; Mammalia; Rodentia; Muridae.
UCUGAGAUAAAAUAGUCUUUUAAUUGGA